Molecule: ribosomal RNA, 460 nt
Filed under: uncultured bacterium
Lineage: Bacteria
Description: partial 16S ribosomal RNA
Rfam family: Bacterial small subunit ribosomal RNA
Source: RNAcentral
CCUACGUGUGUCAGCAGUGAGGAAUAUUGGUCAAUGGACGAGAGUCUGAACCAGCCAAGUAGCGUGAAGGAUGACUGCCCUAUGGGUUGUAAACUUCUUUUAUAUGGGAAUAAACUGUUCCACGUGUGGGAUUUUGUAUGUACCAUAUGAAUAAGAAUCGGCCAACUCCGUGCCAGCAGCCGCGGUAAUACGGAGGAUCCGAGCGGUAUCCGGAUUUAUUGGGUUUAAAGGGAGCGUAGGUGGAUUGUUAAGUCAGUUGUGAAAGUUUGCGGCUCAACCGUAAAAGUGCAUUUGAGACUGGCAGGCUUGAGUACAGUAGAGGUGGGCGGAAUUCGUGGUGUAGCGGUGAAAUGCUUAGAUAUCACGAAGAACACCGAUUGCGAAGGCAGCUCACUGGACUGCAACUGACACUGAGGCUCGAAAGUGUGGGUAUCAAACAGGAUUAGAGACCCGAGUAGUC